RNAcentral lists this ribosomal RNA (253 nucleotides) under uncultured bacterium. RNAcentral's name for it is "partial 16S ribosomal RNA". It matches the Rfam family "Bacterial small subunit ribosomal RNA", at positions 524 to 776 of the family's 1533-position model. The record is from RNAcentral.
UACGGAGGGUGCAAGCGUUGUUCGGAAUUACUGGGCGUAAAGCGCGCGUAGGCGGCUUUGCAAGUCGGGUGUGAAAUCCCCAGGCUUAACCUGGGAACUGCAUUCGAGACUGCAUUGCUAGAGUAUGGGAGAGGGAAGUGGAAUUUCCGGUGUAGCGGUGAAAUGCGUAGAUAUCGGAAGGAACACCUGUGGCGAAAGCGGCUCACUGGACCACAACUGACGCUGAGGCGCGAAAGCUAGGGGAGCAAACAGG